UACGUAGGGUGCAAGCGUUGUCCGGAAUUAUUGGGCGUAAAGAGCUCGUAGGCGGUCUGUCACGUCGGACGUGAAAAUCCGGGGCUCAACCCUGGACCUGCGUUCGAUACGGGCAGACUAGAGUUCGGUAGGGGAGACUGGAAUUCCUGGUGUAGCGGUGAAAUGCGCAGAUAUCAGGAGGAACGCCGGUGGCGAAGGCGGGUCUCUGGGCCAUUACUGACGCUGAGGAGCGAAAGCGUGGGGAGCGAACAGG
RNAcentral lists this ribosomal RNA (253 nucleotides) under uncultured bacterium. RNAcentral's name for it is "partial 16S ribosomal RNA". It matches the Rfam family "Bacterial small subunit ribosomal RNA", at positions 524 to 776 of the family's 1533-position model. The record is from RNAcentral.